RNAcentral lists this ribosomal RNA (380 nucleotides) under uncultured eukaryote. RNAcentral describes it as "partial 18S ribosomal RNA". It matches the Rfam family "Eukaryotic small subunit ribosomal RNA", at positions 592 to 976 of the family's 1831-position model. The record is from RNAcentral.
CAAUAGCGUAUAUUAAAGUUGUUGCGGUUAAAAAGCUCGUAGUUGGAUUUCUGUUGGGAACGACCGGUCCGCCCAUUGGGUGUGUAUCUGGCUUGUUCUCGGCAUCUUCUUGGUGAACGUUGCUGCACUUGACUGUGUGGAGCGCUACCCAGGACUUUUACUUUGAGGAAAUUAGAGUGUUUCAAGCAGGCAUAUGCCUUGAAUACAUCAGCAUGGAAUAAUAAGAUAGGACCUCGGUUCUAUUUUGUUGGUUUCUAGAGCUGAGGUAAUGAUUAAUAGGGAUAGUUGGGGGCAUUCGUAUUUAACUGUCAGAGGUGAAAUUCUUGGAUUUGUUAAAAACGGACUACUGCGAAAGCAUUUGCCAAGGAUGUUUUCAUUGA